UUGCCAUGUCUACUUACCGGUAUUGUUCUUCUAGUUGUGAUGCAACCUGACUUCAAUUUCCACUAUCAUGCAUAUAUUGAUGUAUUAUGUACCCUGCAAAAAAAAACUAUUGAUGUAUUAUGUAUGCUAGUUCAUAUAGUUUUUAUGUAUACGUGGCGCAAAUCCAGCCAAAAAAAACUAUUGACCUAAUUAGUUGAAAG
RNAcentral lists this long non-coding RNA (200 nucleotides) under Hordeum vulgare. RNAcentral describes it as "long non-coding RNA (HVUL_LNC017066)". The record is from RNAcentral. Lineage: Eukaryota; Viridiplantae; Streptophyta; Magnoliopsida; Poales; Poaceae.